GACGAACGCUGGCGGCGUGCUUAACACAUGCAAGUCGAACGGAAAGGCCCUGCUUUUGUGGGGUGCUCGAGUGGCGAACGGGUGAGUAACACGUGAGUAACCUGCCCUUUACUUUGGGAUAACUUCAGGAAACUGGGGCUAAUACCGGAUAUGAGCUCCUGCUGCAUGGUGGGGGUUGGAAAGUUUCGGCGGUUGGGGAUGGACUCGCGGCUUAUCAGCUUGUUGGUGGGGUAGUGGCUUACCAAGGCUUUGACGGGUAGCCGGACUGAGAGGGUGACAGGCCACAUUGGGACUGAGAUACCGCCCAGACUCCUACGGGAGGCAGAAGUGGGGAAUAUUGCACAAUGGGCGGAAGCCUGAUGCAGCAACGCCGCGUGCGGGAUGACGGCCUUCGGGUUGUAACCCGCUUUCGCCUGUGACGAAGCGUGAGUGACGGUAAUGGGUAAAGAAGCACCGGCUAACUACGUG
Molecule: ribosomal RNA, 468 nt
Filed under: uncultured bacterium
Lineage: Bacteria
Description: partial 16S ribosomal RNA
Rfam family: Bacterial small subunit ribosomal RNA
Source: RNAcentral